Molecule: ribosomal RNA, 253 nt
Filed under: uncultured bacterium
Lineage: Bacteria
Description: partial 16S ribosomal RNA
Rfam family: Bacterial small subunit ribosomal RNA
Source: RNAcentral
GACGAACCGUGCGAACGUUGUUCGGAAUCACUGGGCUUAAAGGGCGCGUAGGCGGGCUCACAAGUCCGGGGUGAAAGCCCCCAGCUCAACUGGGGAAGCGCCUUGGAUACUGUGGGCCUCGAGGGAGGUAGGGGCGUGCGGAACUUCCGGUGGAGCGGUGAAAUGUGUUGAUAUCGGAAGGAACGCCGGUGGCGAAAGCGAUCCGCUGGACCUCUUCUGACGCUGAGGCGCGAAAGCCAGGGGAGCAAACGGG